UGCCAGCCGACGAGUCCUAAACAGGACGAAACUUGCUUCCUGGAU
This is a non-coding RNA of Schistosoma mansoni, 45 nucleotides long. NCBI's taxonomy places the organism in Eukaryota, Metazoa, Platyhelminthes, Trematoda, Strigeidida, Schistosomatidae. The record is from Rfam.